CCUACGGGUGGCAGCAGUGAGGAAUAUUGGUCAAUGGACGCAAGUCUGAACCAGCAAUGCCGCGUGCAGGAAGACGGCUCUAUGAGUUGUAAACUGCUUUUGUACGAGGGUAAACGCAGAUACGUGUAUCUUGCUGAAAGUAUCGUACGAAUAAGGAUCGGCUAACUCCGUGCCAGCAGCCGCGGUAAUACGGAGGAUACAAGCGUUAUCCGGAUUUAUUGGGUGUAAAGGGUGCGUAGGCGGGUGUAUAAGUUAGAGGUGAAAUCCCGGGGCUCAACUUCGGAAUUGCCUCUGAUACUGUUGCGCUAGAGUGUAGUUGCGGUAGGCGGAAUGUAUGGUGUAGCGGUGAAAUGCUUAGAGAUCAUGCAGAACACCGAUUGCGAAGGCAGCUUACCAAGCUACUUCUGACGUUGAGGCACGAAAGCGUGGGGAGCAAACAGGAUUAGAUACCCCUGUAGUC
Molecule: ribosomal RNA, 460 nt
Filed under: uncultured bacterium
Lineage: Bacteria
Description: partial 16S ribosomal RNA
Rfam family: Bacterial small subunit ribosomal RNA
Source: RNAcentral